GAUGGCAGACUGCAGCGGCAGGUACUACGGGGGAGGAAGUAGAACAAAUAAAUGGACACUUCUCAAGACUGGGAAAUAGUACCAAGCAUAUGCGGCCAGAAGGCAAGUGACAUAGGCUAUACUGUAGAUUACUAAAUUGCCAACACUUCGUCAGGAUUUUGAUUUAACGUUCCGACUAUCUUACAAUCAUCAUCAGAAAUGGUAAGGAUUGCUUUAUCUACAGUAUUGGAAAGGAACUUUAAGACGAUACUGCAUGUAGGCCUAUAUUAAAGAAAUAUAAAACAUUUUCUGGUUAAUGUGAAUAUCAAGUUUAUCAGCACGAGUGGAAAACGAGAAAUUGUGUGGAAACACCAAGCCGAAGAGCCAGUGUUUUCACAGAAUUUCGUGUAUAUCAACACGGAAAAAAUCUUUUAUAUAUUUUUUAUUAUAUAGCACAAAAACUACAAGCAGCAGGAAAUUUUCCGUGUUGACAUUGAGUUAUAUCAACCCGGCUCUUAGCCAAUCAGCGUUGAGAGUUUAAAAAUGCAAUAUAUAUUGGUCUUGCUAUGCAAAUUUAUCCGUGUUCAUAAACUAUUUACAACAUGAGCGGCUGUGUUUUAUCGGAUAUACAAGCUCGAGCCGAAGGCGAGAGUUUGUCAUAUCCGAUACAACACGGACGCGAAUGUUGUAAAUGGCUUUAAUGGCUUGAGAAAUUCAUCUCGUAAAUAAAAUUUAUUUGAUAUAGAACUACAAAUGAAGUUAAUAACGUGACCUUAACAGUUCCAUAUUUCUUUUGUAAACGAAACCAUGAAGGAAGGUAAGAACUACUAACAGAGCAUGCGUUGGCCUGGAACAGGUGGAAAAUUGAGCAAAUGCCUCUUUUGUUAGCAAGGCGUUACUUGAAGUUCAAAAAUCAAGCGGAAGCGUUAGAAAAGAAGGUGAAAGAGAGUCUUCUCGGUGUUGGAGUUGUGGAAGAGAAUCAUUUCACGGUUUUGCCAACUUGGAUCGAUGAAGUGAAAUUGGUUGCACAAGAGGACCAACUGCUUGAGUCCAGAAAACAAUUUCUUUCUGAAUGUGAAGAGGCGUAAUUGUGCGAUAAAGUUGUAACGCAGCCAACCUCGCCUGACGAAAGAAUUCUUUUGGCUUAUUCUAUGAAGUUGUUCCCGAACUUUUUCAAAACCGUGGAAUCCAGAAACGCUGUUCAUCUGAACGAGACCACUAAGCAAAAGUUAGGGGAUGACUAGAAUUCUACUGUCGACAAAGGAAAAGAUUUGCUCCAUCAACAGAUCUUAAUAUAUCUUCAAAAAAGCAUGAAGAGUCUGCACUUUUCCAUUACUCAGGCGGUCGUGAAUAUGGGUAAACUAAACGGUUAGUUCUCAAAAUAUGUAUCCAGGGCCGUUCCUAGACGCUUAAUUGGGGGGGGGGUGCAUAUUCAUAUAUUCGGUUAUGCCCGACUAGUUUCUUUUGUAAGCAGUUGACUUUGCAAACGAAA
This is a long non-coding RNA of Dendronephthya gigantea, 1471 nucleotides long. RefSeq lists it as uncharacterized. The record is from RefSeq and is a predicted model, not a curated record. The transcript is spliced from 3 exons. Lineage: Eukaryota; Metazoa; Cnidaria; Anthozoa; Malacalcyonacea; Nephtheidae.